CCGUAGCAAUACGGAGCGGCAGACGGGAGAGUAACACGUGGGAACGUACCCUUCGGUUCGGAACAACCCAGGGAAACUUGGGCUAAUACCGGAUACGUCCGUAAGGAGAAAGAUUCAUCGCCGAAGGAUCGGCCCGCGUCUGAUUAGCUAGUUGGUGGGGUAACGGCUCACCAAGGCGACGAUCAGUAGCUGGUCUGAGAGGAUGAUCAGCCUCACUGGGACUGAGACACGGCCCAG
Molecule: ribosomal RNA, 237 nt
Filed under: uncultured bacterium
Lineage: Bacteria
Description: partial 16S ribosomal RNA
Rfam family: Bacterial small subunit ribosomal RNA
Source: RNAcentral